UUUCACACUUGUAGAAUUGCAUUACGCACUAUGCAAUUCCAAAGAAAAAUGGAAAAUUCAUAGGUCUUGUUUGGUUGGGGAAGAUGUUUUUGGUUCCUACUUUCUAGUUCUUCUCUAUUUCUUAGUUUCCAAGUUUAUGUUUUUCAAAUGGAAAAUUGGAAAACGAGAAAACAUGUUCAUUUGUCUAAUUUUCUACUUUUCCAUAUUCUUCUUUUUAAGAUCUUCUAUUAGUUUCUUUUAUUACAUAAGAAUUAUUCAUUGAAAAUAACAAUUAUUUGAAAGUGAUAGUACGAAUAGUCUCAGAGCCUAAUUGAUAGAGUGAAGAACAUAUUUAUAAUAAUAGAAAAAGGAAAAGAGCUUGUAAUAUUUAAUAGGCAAAAGCCAUUACAAUCAGUCCAAGCAAAUACAAAAGCUCAAUCCAAUUGAAAGAGAGAAUAAAUGAAAACUAGGAGUAAUCUUCCGAAUCAGCUUAAG
Molecule: unclassified non-coding RNA, 474 nt
Filed under: Hevea brasiliensis (rubber tree)
Lineage: Eukaryota; Viridiplantae; Streptophyta; Magnoliopsida; Malpighiales; Euphorbiaceae
Source: RNAcentral